Molecule: ribosomal RNA, 2924 nt
Filed under: Escherichia coli
Lineage: Bacteria; Pseudomonadati; Pseudomonadota; Gammaproteobacteria; Enterobacterales; Enterobacteriaceae
Description: 23S ribosomal RNA
Rfam family: Bacterial large subunit ribosomal RNA
Source: RNAcentral
GGGUUGUGAGGUUAAGCGACUAAGCGUACACGGUGGAUGCCCGGCAGUCAGAGGCGAUGAAGGACGUGCUAAUCUGCGAUAAGCGUCGGUAAGGUGAUAUGAACCGUUAUAACCGGCGAUUUCCGAAUGGGGAAACCCAGUGUGAUUCGUCACACUAUCAUUAACUGAAUCCAUAGGUUAAUGAGGCGAACCGGGGGAACUGAAACAUCUAAGUACCCCGAGGAAAAGAAAUCAACCGAGAUUCCCCAGUAGCGGCGAGCGAACGGGGAGCAGCCCAGAGCCUGAAUCAGUGUGUGUGUUAGUGGAAGCGUCUGGAAAGGCGCGCGAUACAGGGUGACAGCCCCGUACACAAAAAUGCACAUGCUGUGAGCUCGAUGAGUAGGGCGGACACGUGGUAUCCUGUCUGAAUAUGGGGGACCAUCCUCCAAGGCUAAAUACUCCUGACUGACCGAUAGUGAACCAGUACCGUGAGGGAAAGGCGAAAAGAACCCCGGCGAGGGGAGUGAAAAAGAACCUGAAACCGUGUACGUACAAGCAGUGGGAGCACGCUUAGGCGUGUGACUGCGUACCUUUUGUAUAAUGGGUCAGCGACUUAUAUUCUGUAGCAAGGUUAACCGAAUAGGGGAGCCGAAGGGAAACCGAGUCUUAACUGGGCGUUAAGUUGCAGGGUAUAGACCCGAAACCCGGUGAUCUAGCCAUGGGCAGGUUGAAGGUUGGGUAACACUAACUGGAGGACCGAACCGACUAAUGUUGAAAAAUUAGCGGAUGACUUGUGGCUGGGGUGAAAGGCCAAUCAAACCGGGAGAUAGCUGGUUCUCCCCGAAAGCUAUUUAGGUAGCGCCUCGUGAAUUCAUCUCCGGGGGUAGAGCACUGUUUCGGCAAGGGGUCAUCCGACUUACCAACCCGAUGCAAACUGCGAAUACCGGAGAAUGUUAUCACGGGAGACACACGGCGGGUGCUAACGUCUGUCGUGAAGAGGGAAACAACCCAGACCGCCAGCUAAGGUCCCAAAGUCAUGGUUAAGUGGGAAACGAUGUGGGAAGGCCCAGACAGCCGGGAUGUUGGCUUAGAAGCAGCCAUCAUUUAAAGAAAGCGUAAUAGCUCACUGGUCGAGUCGGCCUGCGCGGAAGAUGUAACGGGGCUAAACCAUGCACCGAAGCUGCGGCAGCGACGCUUAUGCGUUGUUGGGUAGGGGAGCGUUCUGUAAGCCUGUGAAGGUGUGCUGUGAGGCAUGCUGGAGGUAUCAGAAGUGCGAAUGCUGACAUAAGUAACGAUAAAGCGGGUGAAAAGCCCGCUCGCCGGAAGACCAAGGGUUCCUGUCCAACGUUAAUCGGGGCAGGGUGAGUCGACCCCUAAGGCGAGGCCGAAAGGCGUAGUCGAUGGGAAACAGGUUAAUAUUCCUGUACUUGGUGUUACUGCGAAGGGGGACGGAGAAGGCUAUGUUGGCCGGGCGACGGUUGUCCCGGUUUAAGCGUGUAGGCUGGUUUUCCGGCAAAUCCGGAAAAUCAAGGCUGAGGCGUGAUGACGAGGCACUACGGUGCUGAAGCAACAAAUGCCCUGCUUCCGGGAAAAGCCUCUAAGCAUCAGGUAACAUCAAAUCGUACCCCAAACCGACACAGGUGGUCAGGUAGAGAAUACCAAGGCGCUUGAGAGAACUCGGGUGAAGGAACUAGGCAAAAUGGUGCCGUAACUUCGGGAGAAGGCACGCUGAUAUGUAGGUGAAGUCCCUCGCGGAUGGAGCUGAAAUCAGUCGAAGAUACCAGCUGGCUGCAACUGUUUAUUAAAAACACAGCACUGUGCAAACACGAAAGUGGACGUAUACGGUGUGACGCCUGCCCGGUGCCGGAAGGUUAAUUGAUGGGGUCAGCGCAAGCGAAGCUCUUGAUCGAAGCCCCGGUAAACGGCGGUAGUAGUAACUAUAACGGUCCUAAGGUAGCGAAAUUCCUUGUCGGGUAAGUUCCGACCUGCACGAAUGGCGUAAUGAUGGCGGGCUGUCUCCACCCGAGACUCAGUGAAAUUGAACUCGCUGUGAAGAUGCAGUGUACGGCAAGACGGAAAGACCCCGUGAACCUUUACUAUAGCUUGACACUGAACAUUGAGCCUUGAUGUGUAGGAUAGGUGGGAGGCUUAGAAGUGUGGACGCCAGUCUGCAUGGAGCCGACCUUGAAAUACCACCACCUUUAAUGUUUGAUGUUCUAACGUUGACCCGUAAUCCGGGUUGCGGACAGUGUCUGGUGGGUAGUUUGACUGGGGCGGUCUCCUCCUAAAGAGUAACGGAGGAGCACGAAGGUUGGCUAAUCUGGUCGGACAUCAGGAGGUUAGUGCAAUGGCAUAAGCCAGCUUGACUGCGAGCGUGACGGCGCGAGCAGGUGCGAGGCAGGUCAUAGUGAUCCGGUGGUUCUGAAUGGAAGGGCCAUCGCUCAACGGAUAAAAGGUACUCCGGGGAUAACAGGCUGAUACCGCCCAAGAGUUCAUAUCGACGGCGGUGUUUGGCACCUCGAUGUCGGCUCAUCACAUCCCACGGGGCUGAAGUAGGUCCCAAGGGUAUGGCUGUUCGCCAUUUAAAGUGGUACGCGAGCUGGGUUUAGAACGUCGUGAGACAGUUCGGUCCCUAUCUGCCGUGGGCGCUGGAGAACUGAGGGGGCUGCUCCUAGUACGAGAGGACCGGAGUGGACGCAUCACUGGUGUUCGGGUUGUCAUGCCAAUGGCACUGCCCGGUAGCUAAAUGCGGAAGAGAUAAGUGCUGAAAGCAUCUAAGCACGAAACUUGCCCCGAGAUGAGUUCUCCCUGACUCCUUGAGAGUCCUGGAAGGAACGUUGAAGACGACGACGUUGAUAGGCCGGGUGUGUAAGCGCAGCGAUGCGUUGAGCUAACCGGUACUAAUGAACCGUGAGGCUUAACCUUACAACGCCGAAGCUGUUUGG